GACGAACGCUGGCGGCGUGCCUAAUACAUGCAAGUAGAACGCUGAAGAGAGGAGCUUGCUCUUCUUGGAUGAGUUGCGAACGGGUGAGUAACGCGUAGGUAACCUGCCUUGUAGCGGGGGAUAACUAUUGGAAACGAUAGCUACUACCGCAUAACAAUAGGUGACACAUGUCAUUUAUUUGAAAGGGGCAAUUGCUCCACUACAAGAUGGACCUGCGUUGUAUUAGCUAGUAGGUGAGGUAACGGCUCACCUAGGCGACGAUACAUAGCCGACCUGAGAGGGUGAUCGGCCACACUGGGACUGAGACACGGCCCAGACUCCUACGGGAGGCAGCAGUAGGGAAUCUUCGGCAAUGGGGGCAACCCUGACCGAGCAACGCCGCGUGAGUGAAGAAGGUUUUCGGAUCGUAAAGCUCUGUUGUAAGUCAAGAACGAGUGUGAGAGUGGAAAGUUCACACUGUGACGGUAGCUUACCAGAAAGGGACGGCUAACUACGUG
This 497-nucleotide ribosomal RNA is filed under the name uncultured bacterium. RNAcentral's name for it is "partial 16S ribosomal RNA". It matches the Rfam family "Bacterial small subunit ribosomal RNA", at positions 28 to 507 of the family's 1533-position model. The record is from RNAcentral.